GACAGAGGGUGCAAACGUUUGCUCGGAAUCACUGGGCGUAAAGGGCGUGUUAGGCGGGUAGGCAAGUCGGGCGUGAAAAUCCCUGAGCUCAACUCAGGAACUGCACUCGAAAACUGCUUAUCUUGAGUGCCGGAGGAGGAAAGCGGAAUACCUGGUGUAGAGGUGAAAUUCGUAGAUAUCAGGUGAAACACCAGUGGCCGAAGGGCGGGCU
This 211-nucleotide ribosomal RNA is filed under the name uncultured bacterium. Its description in RNAcentral is "partial 16S ribosomal RNA". It matches the Rfam family "Bacterial small subunit ribosomal RNA", at positions 524 to 727 of the family's 1533-position model. The record is from RNAcentral.